GAACGCUGGCGGCGUGCUUAACACAUGCAAGUCGAACGCGAAAGGGGAACUUCGGGUCCUGAGUAAAGUGGCGCACGGGUGAGUAACGCGUAGAUAACCUGUCUUCAUGUCUGGAAUAAUACGCCGAAAGGGGUACUAAUACCGGAUAUUCUUGCUUUUCAUAAGUUAUGCAAGCAAAGGUGGCCUCUGCAUAUGCUACUGCAUGAAGAGGGGUCUGCGUACCAUUAGCUAGUAGGUGGGGUAAUGGCCUACCUAGGCGACGAUGGUUAGCGGGUCUGAGAGGAUGAUCCGCCACACUGGCACUGGAACACGGGCCAGACUCCUACGGGAGGCAGCAGUGAGGAAUAUUGCGCAAUGGGGGAAACCCUGACGCAGCGACGCCGCGUGAGUGAGGAAAAGGGCCUUCGGGUCGUAAAGCUCUGUCAAGAGGAAAGAAGUGUACAAUGGCUAAUACCUGUUGUAUUUGACGGUACCUCUAAAGGAAGCACCGGCUAACUCCGUGCCAGCAGCUGC
RNAcentral lists this ribosomal RNA (513 nucleotides) under uncultured bacterium. Its description in RNAcentral is "bacterial SSU rRNA". It matches the Rfam family "Bacterial small subunit ribosomal RNA", at positions 31 to 518 of the family's 1533-position model. The record is from RNAcentral.